Molecule: ribosomal RNA, 420 nt
Filed under: Proasellus anophtalmus
Lineage: Eukaryota; Metazoa; Arthropoda; Malacostraca; Isopoda; Asellidae
Description: partial 16S ribosomal RNA
Rfam family: Bacterial large subunit ribosomal RNA
Source: RNAcentral
CUCCUGGUAGUUUCCAGGUAACCCCUGCCCGGUGAAUAGUUUAAAUGGCCGCAGUACUUUGACUGUGCAAAGGUAGCAUAAUCACUUGUCCUUUAAUUAAGGGCUGGAAUGAAAGGGGCGACGAGAUCUAGACUAUUGGUGAAAGUGURUAAUUUGACAUAAAGGUCAAAAGGCCCUUAUAGGUCAAGGGGACGAUAAGACCCUAUAAAACUUUACCUUUAAACAGGUCUUGUUAGAUUGGGUUWAAAUAAAAGGUUUAACUGGGGCGGUAUUGAUAAAAACAAUUAAAUAAAGAAUAUUUUAAAUAACUUUUAAGAACUCUUUAAAGAAAUAGAACAAGUUACUUUAGGGAUAACAGCAUAAUUCUCUCAGAGAGUACUAAUUGGCGAGAGAGCUUAUGACCUCGAUGUUGAAUUGGAG